UUAAGCGACUAAGCGUACACGGUGGAUGCCCUGGCAGUCAGAGGCGAUGAAGGACGUGCUAAUCUGCGAAAAGCGUCGGUAAGGUGAUAUGAACCGUUAUAACCGGCGAUGUCCGAAUGGGGAAACCCAGUGUGAUUCGUCACACUAUCGUUAACUGAAUACAUAGGUUAACGAGGCGAACCGGGGGAACUGAAACAUCUAAGUACCCCGAGGAAAAGAAAUCAACCGAGAUUCCCCCAGUAGCGGCGAGCGAACGGGGAGCAGCCCAGAGUCUGAAUCAGCUUGUGUGUUAGUGGAACGGUCUGGAAAGUCCGACGGUACAGGGUGAUAGUCCCGUACACCAAAAUGCACAGGCUGUGAACUCGAAGAGUAGGGCGGGACACGUGGUAUCCUGUCUGAAUAUGGGGGGACCAUCCUCCAAGGCUAAAUACUCCUGACUGACCGAUAGUGAACCAGUACCGUGAGGGAAAGGCGAAAAGAACCCCGGCGAGGGGAGUGAAAAAGAACCUGAAACCGUGUACGUACAAGCAGUGGGAGCACCUUCGGGUGUGACUGCGUACCUUUUGUAUAAUGGGUCAGCGACUUAUAUUCUGUAGCAAGGUUAACCGUAUAGGGGAGCCGCAGGGAAACCGAGUCUUAACUGGGCGUUAAGUUGCAGGGUAUAGACCCGAAACCCGGUGAUCUAGCCAUGGGCAGGUUGAAGGUUGGGUAACACUAACUGGAGGACCGAACCGACUAAUGUUGAAAAAUUAGCGGAUGACUUGUGGCUGGGGGUGAAAGGCCAAUCAAACCGGGAGAUAGCUGGUUCUCCCCGAAAGCUAUUUAGGUAGCGCCUCGUGAACUCAUCUUCGGGGGUAGAGCACUGUUUCGGCUAGGGGGUCAUCCCGACUUACCAACCCGAUGCAAACUACGAAUACCGGAGAAUGUUAUCACGGGAGACACACGGCGGGUGCUAACGUCCGUCGUGAAGAGGGAAACAACCCAGACCGCCAGCUAAGGUCCCAAAGUCAUGGUUAAGUGGGAAACGAUGUGGGAAGGCACAGACAGCCAGGAUGUUGGCUUAGAAGCAGCCAUCAUUUAAAGAAAGCGUAAUAGCUCACUGGUCGAGUCGGCCUGCGCGGAAGAUGUAACGGGGCUAAACCAUGCACCGAAGCUGCGGCAGCGACACUAUGUGUUGUUGGGUAGGGGAGCGUUCUGUAAGCCUGCGAAGGUGACCUGUGAGGGUUGCUGGAGGUAUCAGAAGUGCGAAUGCUGACAUAAGUAACGAUAAAGCGGGUGAAAAGCCCGCUCGCCGGAAGACCAAGGGUUCCUGUCCAACGUUAAUCGGGGCAGGGUGAGUCGACCCCUAAGGCGAGGCCGAAAGGCGUAGUCGAUGGGAAACAGGUUAAUAUUCCUGUACUUGGUGUUACUGCGAAGGGGGGACGGAGAAGGCUAUGUUAGCCGGGCGACGGUUGUCCCGGUUUAAGCAUGUAGGCUGGUUGUCCAGGCAAAUCCGGAUAAUCAAGGCUGAGGUGUGAUGACGAGGCACUACGGUGCUGAAGUAACAAAUGCCCUGCUUCCAGGAAAAGCCUCUAAGCAUCAGGUAACAUCAAAUCGUACCCCAAACCGACACAGGUGGUCAGGUAGAGAAUACCAAGGCGCUUGAGAGAACUCGGGUGAAGGAACUAGGCAAAAUGGUGCCGUAACUUCGGGAGAAGGCACGCUGGUGUGUAGGUGAAGUCCCUGCGGAUGGAGCUGAGACCAGUCGAAGAUACCAGCUGGCUGCAACUGUUUAUUAAAAACACAGCACUGUGCAAACACGAAAGUGGACGUAUACGGUGUGACGCCUGCCCGGUGCCGGAAGGUUAAUUGAUGGGGUUAUCCGUAAGGAGAAGCUCUUGAUCGAAGCCCCGGUAAACGGCGGCCGUAACUAUAACGGUCCUAAGGUAGCGAAAUUCCUUGUCGGGUAAGUUCCGACCUGCACGAAUGGCGUAAUGAUGGCCAGGCUGUCUCCACCCGAGACUCAGUGAAAUUGAACUCGCUGUGAAGAUGCAGUGUACCCGCGGCAAGACGGAAAGACCCCGUGAACCUUUACUAUAGCUUGACACUGAACAUUGAGCCUUGAUGUGUAGGAUAGGUGGGAGGCUUUGAAGCGUGGACGCCAGUCUGCGUGGAGCCAACCUUGAAAUACCACCCUUUAAUGUUUGAUGUUCUAACGUUGGCCCCUGACCGGGGUUGCGGACAGUGUCUGGUGGGUAGUUUGACUGGGGCGGUCUCCUCCCAAAGCGUAACGGAGGAGCACGAAGGUUAGCUAAUCCUGGUCGGACAUCAGGAGGUUAGUGCAAUGGCAUAAGCUAGCUUGACUGCGAGCGUGACGGCGCGAGCAGGUGCGAAAGCAGGUCAUAGUGAUCCGGUGGUUCUGAAUGGAAGGGCCAUCGCUCAACGGAUAAAAGGUACUCCGGGGAUAACAGGCUGAUACCGCCCAAGAGUUCAUAUCGACGGCGGUGUUUGGCACCUCGAUGUCGGCUCAUCACAUCCUGGGGCUGAAGUAGGUCCCAAGGGUAUGGCUGUUCGCCAUUUAAAGUGGUACGCGAGCUGGGUUUAGAACGUCGUGAGACAGUUCGGUCCCUAUCUGCCGUGGGCGCUGGAGAAUUGAGGGGGGCUGCUCCUAGUACGAGAGGACCGGAGUGGACGCAUCACUGGUGUUCGGGUUGUCAUGCCAAUGGCACUGCCCGGUAGCUAAAUGCGGAAGAGAUAAGUGCUGAAAGCAUCUAAGCACGAAACUUGCCCCGAGAUGAGUUCUCCCUGAGACUUUAAGUCUCCUGAAGGAACGUUAAAGACGAUGACGUUGAUAGGCCGGGUGUGUAAGCGCAGCGAUGCGUUGAGCUAACCGGUACUAAUGAACCGUGAGGCUUAACCUU
Molecule: ribosomal RNA, 2900 nt
Filed under: Klebsiella pneumoniae MGH 19
Lineage: Bacteria; Pseudomonadati; Pseudomonadota; Gammaproteobacteria; Enterobacterales; Enterobacteriaceae
Description: bacterial LSU rRNA
Rfam family: Bacterial large subunit ribosomal RNA
Source: RNAcentral